UACGUAGGGUGCGAGCGUUGUCCGGAAUUAUUGGGCGUAAAGAGCUCGUAGGCGGUGUGUCACGUCGUUCGUGAAAACCUACAGCUUAACUGUGGGCGUGCGGUCGAUACGGGCAUCACUGGAGUUCGGCAGGGGAGACUGGAAUUCCUGGUGUAGCGGUGAAAUGCGCAGAUAUCAGGAGGAACACCGGUGGCGAAGGCGGGUCUCUGGGCCGAUACUGACGCUGAGGAGCGAAAGCGUGGGGAGCAAACAGG
RNAcentral lists this ribosomal RNA (254 nucleotides) under uncultured bacterium. RNAcentral describes it as "partial 16S ribosomal RNA". It matches the Rfam family "Bacterial small subunit ribosomal RNA", at positions 524 to 776 of the family's 1533-position model. The record is from RNAcentral.